UGUCAUAUGAAACUGUGUUAUUUUUAGGACUAUGAUCCUGAAUCUCAUUAUGGUCCACAUUCAUCUUAUUAUGGGCGCAAUCAAUCAUAUGGUGGGGGUCACUACUAUUAGACCCUAGAACUAUUCGGGUUCUACUCUGCUUUUCGGUGGCUCUGUUUUCUUGUGAUUAACGUUUACAAAUGAAAAGGAUUUGAUUCGAGGCCGGCAUAGUCCCAUCUGUAUCCAGUUUGAUUUCAAAAGAGUUGCAGACUUGCAGAUUUGUGCACUUGUCGAGUUGUCAUGGAGGUUUGGACUUGUGGAGCAAGGCAGCAGGCCGAGCAACUAGAGCCUAAAGGCCUAGAGCAGUGCAGCUUCAGUUAUUUCUUAGUUGGACAGUUUCACUAUUUGUGCAGAACUGCAAAUUGUGUUGAACUGUUUAUGUUUCUGUUGGACAAUGUAUUCUAGAUUUCUGGACUCUUGAGUUUGUGUUGUAAA
Molecule: long non-coding RNA, 474 nt
Organism: Rosa rugosa (rugosa rose)
Lineage: Eukaryota; Viridiplantae; Streptophyta; Magnoliopsida; Rosales; Rosaceae
Exons: 4
Source: RefSeq, a predicted model, not a curated record